RNAcentral lists this ribosomal RNA (235 nucleotides) under uncultured bacterium. RNAcentral's name for it is "partial 16S ribosomal RNA". It matches the Rfam family "Bacterial small subunit ribosomal RNA", at positions 96 to 334 of the family's 1533-position model. The record is from RNAcentral.
UGGCGGACGGGUGAGUAAUGUCUGGGAAACUGCCCGAUGGAGGGGGAUAACUACUGGAAACGGUAGCUAAUACCGCAUAACGUCGCAAGACCAAAGAGGGGGAACUUCGGGCCUCUUGCCAUCGGAUGUGCCCAGAUGGGAUUAGCUAGUAGGUGGGGUAACGGCUCACCUAGGCGACGAUCCCUAGCUGGUCUGAGAGGAUGACCAGCCACACUGGAACUGAGACACGGCCCAG